AGAAAUCUAAUAACUAAAGCAGAAAAUUUGAACAACCUAAGGUUUAGAGAAAGUAAUGUAAAGGUAAUGUAUAACAAAAAGUGUGGUAAUUAAGAAUAUUAGUAUUAACAUAUACAUGGUGAUUAGUUUUUUGUUGCAUCAUUCAUAUCACAAGAUACUUAAAUAUAAGUAUUAACUGAAGAAAAAUCCUUCAGUAUUUCAAGUUCUUAAUCACCAUGAACUGAAAAAAGUUAUUGAAAAGUGACUGGUAGUUGUUUUCAUGAAGUAUGCCAAGGGAGAUAACUCUAAUCACAUUGAGAGGAGGUCCAUUUUAAAGCAUUUAAAACUAGUUAAGAUUGUUUUUAAUUAUAUUUAUUUCGGUAUUUAAGAUAUGUAUUUAAAUGAGCUAAUUUAUGUGUAUGCCUUCUCUUAAUCUUGUUUCUUGGUAUAUAAUUUUGAUAAACAUUUUUUUCAGCAUUUCUUUAAAAUGAUAACAUAACUUAAAGAAAUCAAAAACUUUUCCAAUAUAACAUUAGCCAUAGUCGUGCUUACAUCAAUUACAGAUAACUUUUCAUUUUUCCAAAAACUGGUUAUGAUGUUGGAUGCCAUUUCUUUUAACAAUAAGUUGUAACCGCAUGAAUCCCUAUAAGCACACUAAACUUCUAAGUGUAUUCUAAGUCAUACACCAUAUAUAUUACAAAUUUGUGAAGAAAAUUUUGAUUAAAAAUAAUUUUACUCAUCUGUACUCUGUAGAUCCUAUGUACUGCACCUGGACUGAAGACAAACACUGCACCUGGACUGAAGACAAACACUGCACCUGGACUGAAGACAAACACUGCACCUAGACUAAAGACUUUAGACAUAAUAUCCAAGUUAAAUGGGACUAGUGACCACUGGAACUAGCUCCUUCAAAAAACAUAGUCAUUAUUGACCUCUAUAUUGAUGUGUUAUGAUGAAAUCAUGUUUUUGAUAGUUGCAUUGAUAAAUGUUCAUGCAUUAAAACAUUGGAUUGACUUUGACCCAAGACUUAUUAUAGUUUCUCCAGAGUAUAAAUGAGUUUGUCAAUUUUAAGUGUUUAGAAAAUUUAAUUUUAAUAUUUACCAAUUUGUGAAAUUUGAUAGCAAGGCUAAUGGCUGGUGCACCAAAAUAGAUUUUCAUAAUUGGCUGUAUUUUCACUGAUAAAAAAUUCUGAAAAAUUGUAACAGCAAAUAGCUUCUCUUUAAAGCUGAUAUAAAUUAAGAGCUUUUGUUAAAUUUCUUUAAUUUAUGUUGCCCUCCUUGACGGAAGAAGACACAUUCAUGGCAGAUAGCAAAGUCAUAAUGUACGUAUUUCCUUAAAACUAUGUUCAUGUUUGUAAACAAAAUGGAUCAUUUUUGUCGAGCCUGCAACUUUUGUAGCAGAAAAUUUGACAGGGAUAUUGAUCUGGUGGCGGUGUUAGCUUUAUAUAUUAGAAGGUGGAAGACCUGUAUGCUUCAUACUUUGUAUAUAGAUGCCUCAUGUUGCGAAGUUUCCAUUGGUCACAUUGUCUUAUGUCCUUGACCUCAUUUUCAUGGUUCAGCGACUACCUUAAAAAAAAGAUUUUUUAUGCCCCACCUACGAUAGUAGAGGGGCAUUAUGUUUUCUGGUCUGUGGCUCCGUUCGUCCGUCCGUCCAUCCGUCUGUGCUUCCGUUCGUCCGUCCGUUCAGGUUAAAGUUUUUGGUCAAGGUAGUUUUUGAUGAAGCUGAAGUCCAAUCAACUUGAAACUUAGUAAACUUGUUGCUUAUGAUAUGAUCUUUUUAAUUUUAAAGCCAAAUUAGACUUUUGACCCCAAUUUCACGGUCCACUAAACAUAGAAAAUGAAAGUGGGAGUUUCAGGUUAAAGUUUUUGGUCAAGGUAGUUUUUGAUAAAAUUGAAGUCCAAUCAACUUGAAACUUAGUACAUAUGUUCCCUAUAGUAUAAUCUUUCUAAUUUUAAUGCCAAAUUAGAUUAUUACCCAGUUUCACGGUCCAUGGAACAUGGUAAAGGAUAGUGCGAGUGGGGCAUCCGUGUACUUUGGACACAUUCUUGUUUAAUGAUAAAAACUUGUACCAUAAAGAAAAUUUCAGAGAUUUAAAAGUAAGUUUUGUUUUUUCAGUUGAAUCAAUUUCUUCUAUUGUCUUAAUUACAAAUAUGGAGAAUUGGUUAAAAUGCUUAUGAUACAGCUAUUAUGACCGCUCCUUUUUAAAUGACUGCCAAAAUUUAAAAAAAAUUGGUUGUAUAUUGAUAUCACUUCGUUGUCAGCGUUGUCCAAAGACAGAUGGUUUCUGCAUAAUAACUUAUGAAUAAGUAAAUAGAAAUCAAUAGAAUUUUAACAUAAGGUUUAUAACCAGUACAGGAAUUGAUUUUGGGAGUUUUUGUCUCAAUAGUUUAGAAACAAGGGGCCCAAAAGGGGUCAAAAUAGGUAUUUUUCUAGUUUCGAGACAAUAAUUUGUGUAAGUGUAUGGAUCUUUUUGAAAUUGUGCCACAAGGUUCUAUUUUAGAAAGGAAGGUUUGAAUUGAUUUAGGUGGUUAUGGCCCAAACUGCUUAGAAUUGGGGCCAAAAAGGGGUGAAAACAAUACUUUUCUAAUACUUUGUAUAAAUUGCAGGUAACACACCAGGAUGAGUCGCAUAGUUAGUAUUUGGUCAUUAGAAUUAGGUCUUUCCACUUUUCGUGGAAAGACCUUUUGUUUUUCUUCUGAUUAUUUUUUUUCUUCUGCCGUCUGAGAUGCUUUUUUGUCUUACAACAUAUCGAACACUUAUUCUUAUAGGAGUUAUCUCCCCGCGUUCCCUUUUUCUUGUUAUCGCUAUAUCUCUAAAACCGUAAAAGAUUUUAGCAAACUGUUUUCACCAAAUUGUUCGUCUACUCUUGAGAAUAAUUUGGUUUAUUUUGACUUGAGUGAUGGGAAGACAUCUUUGAAAAUUUAAUAUAGGCUAUUUGUUGGAUAAAUUCAUACGUCUACAGUCUUUUGAUAUGAAGUCCUUGGUCCAUUUGAAGAAAAUCGAAGUCAAGGUCAAAGGUCAAGGUCAUGUUUUAAAUUUAAAAUUUUGCUUGUUAUCAUUAUUCCACAAACUGUGACAGUAAAUGAUAUAUGUUUGCCAAAUAACUGUUUACAAUAAGGCGCAACUUCAACCUAUUUCAGUCAAAGUGUUUUGGUUAACCCUUAUAGGAGUUUUCUCCCCUUAUGUAUUUCAAAUCAGUAUUUCUCCACAACCAUACAAGUGAUUGAAGUUCACUGACCUAUGACCCAAAUUAUUGCUUUUAUGUUCCCCAUUUUAAAGCUGAUACUAAUUUAUAAUUUCCUUUUGUUACAGAUACCCAUAUAUGUUCCACUCCAACGAGAGGGAUUUCAUGGAAGAUAACGCACCAGGAUGAGUCACAUGUUAGUAUUUGCUCAUUAAAAUUGUACUUGAAACUAUGUUUUACUGUAACAAUAGCUUAGAAUUUUAUGACAAAUUUGGUCUUAAAUCAAUUUCUUUUAUUAAAAUUUCGAUUCGAAUGCGGCAUUUUUUAAUUAGAAUUGAUAGUAAUUGUAAAUUAAGUGUCGCUGAUUUAAAAUUUGACAUAAAACACAUCACAUUAAUUUCAAUAGCCAAAAAAUAUUCCCCAUUUUAAAGCUGAUACUAAUUUAUAAUUUCCUUUUGUUACAGAUACCCAUAUAUGUUCCACUCCAACGAGAGGGAUUUCAUGGAAGAUAACGCACCAGGAUGAGUCACAUGUUAGUAUUUGCUCAUUAAAAUUGUACUUGAAACUAUGUUUUACUGUAACAAUAGCUUAGAAUUUUAUGACAAAUUUGGUCUUAAAUCAAUUUCUUUUAUUAAAAUUUCGAUUCGAAUGCGGCAUUUUUUAAUUAGAAUUGAUAGUAAUUGUAAAUUAAGUGUCGCUGAUUUAAAAUUUGACAUAAAACACAUCACAUUAAUUUCAAUAGCCAAAAAAUAUUCCCCAUUUUAAAGCUGAUACUAAUUUAUAAUUUCCUUUUGUUACAGAUACCCAUAUAUGUUCCACUCCAACGAGAGGGAUUUCAUGGAAGAUAACGCACCAGGAUGAGUCACAUGUUAGUAUUUGCUCAUUAAAAUUGUACUUGAAACUAUGUUUUACUGUAACAAUAGCUUAGAAUUUUAUGACAAAUUUGGUCUUAAAUCAAUUUCUUUUAUUAAAAUUUCGAUUCGAAUGCGGCAUUUUUUAAUUAGAAUUUAUAGUAAUGGUAAAUUAAUUGUCCCUAAUUUAAGAUUUGACUUAAAACACAUCACAUUAAUUUCAAUUGCCAAAAAAUAUUCCCCAUUUUAAAGCUGAUACUUAUUUAUAAUUUCCUUUUACAGAUACCCAUAUAUGUUCCACUCCAACGAGAGGGAUUUCAUGGAAGAUAACACACCAGGAUGAGUCACAUGUUAGUAUUUGCUCAUUAAAAUUGUACUUGAAACUAUGUUUUACUGUAACAAUAGCUUAGAAUUUUAUGACAAAUUUGGUCUUAAAUCAAUUUCUUUUAUUAAAAUUUCGAUUCGAAUGCGGCAUUUUUUAAUUAGAAUUGAUAGUAAUUGUAAAUUAAGUGUCGCUGAUUUAAAAUUUGACAUAAAACACAUCACAUUAAUUUCAAUAGCCAAAAAAAUAUUCCCCAUUUUAAAGCUGAUACUAAUUUAUAAUUUCCUUUUGUUACAGAUACCCAUAUAUGUUCCACUCCAACGAGAGGGAUUUCAUGGAAGAUAACGCACCAGGAUGAGUCACAUGUUAGUAUUUGCUCAUUAAAAUUGUACUUGAAACUAUGUUUUACUGUAACAAUAGCUUAGAAUUUUAUGACAAAUUUGGUCUUAAAUCAAUUUCUUUUAUUAAAAUUUCGAUUCGAAUGCGGCAUUUUUUAAUUAGAAUUGAUAGUAAUUGUAAAUUAAGUGUCGCUGAUUUAAAAUUUGACAUAAAACACAUCACAUUAAUUUCAAUAGCCAACACAUCACAUUAAUUUCAAUUGCCAAAAAAUAUUCCCCAUUUUAAAGCUGAUACUUAUUUAUAAUUUCCUUUUACAGAUACCCAUAUAUGUUCCACUCCAACGAGAGGGAUUUCAUGGAAGAUAACACACCAGGAUGAGUCACAUGUUAGUAUUUGCUCAUUAAAAUUGUACUUGAAACUAUGUUUUACUGUAACAAUAGCUUAGAAUUUUAUGACAAAUUUGGUCUUAAAUCAAUUUCUUUUAUUAAAAUUUCGAUUCGAAUGCGGCAUUUUUUAAUUAGAAUUGAUAGUAAUUGUAAAUUAAGUGUCGCUGAUUUAAAAUUUGACAUAAAACACAUCACAUUAAUUUCAAUAGCCAAAAAAUAUUCCCCAUUUUAAAGCUGAUACUAAUUUAUAAUUUCCUUUUGUUACAGAUACCCAUAUAUGUUCCACUCCAACGAGAGGGAUUUCAUGGAAGAUAACGCACCAGGAUGAGUCACAUGUUAGUAUUUGCUCAUUAAAAUUGUACUUGAAACUAUGUUUUACUGUAACAAUAGCUUAGAAUUUUUUUGACAAAUUUGGUCUUAAAUCAAUUUCUUUUCUUAAAAUUUCGAUUCGAAUGCGGCAUUUUUUAAUUAGAAUUUAUAGUAAUGGUAAAUUAAUUGUCCCUAAUUUAAGAUUUGACUUAAAACACAUCACAUUAAUUUCAAUUGCCAAAAAAUAUUCCCCAUUUUAAAGCUGAUACUUAUUUAUAAUUUCCUUUUACAGAUACCCAUAUAUGUUCCACUCCAACGAGAGGGAUUUCAUGGAAGAUAACACACCAGGAUGAGUCACAUGUUAGUAUUUGCUCAUUAAAAUUGUACUUGAAACUAUGUUUUACUGUAACAAUAGCUUAGAAUUUUAUGACAAAUUUGGUCUUAAAUCAAUUUCUUUUAUUAAAAUUUCGAUUCGAAUGCGGCAUUUUUUUAAUUAGAAUUGAUAGUAAUUGUAAAUUAAGUGUCGCUGAUUUAAAAUUUGACAUAAAACACAUCACAUUAAUUUCAAUAGCCAAAAAAUAUUCCCCAUUUUAAAGCUGAUACUAAUUUAUAAUUUCCUUUUGUUACAGAUACCCAUAUAUGUUCCACUCCAACGAGAGGGAUUUCAUGGAAGAUAACGCACCAGGAUGAGUCACAUGUUAGUAUUUGCUCAUUAAAAUUGUACUUGAAACUAUGUUUUACUGUAACAAUAGCUUAGAAUUUUAUGACAAAUUUGGUCUUAAAUCAAUUUCUUUUAUUAAAAUUUCGAUUCGAAUGCGGCAUUUUUUAAUUAGAAUUUAUAGUAAUGGUAAAUUAAUUGUCCCUAAUUUAAGAUUUGACUUAAAACACAUCACAUUAAUUUCAAUUGCCAAAAAAUAUUCCCCAUUUUAAAGCUGAUACUUAUUUAUAAUUUCCUUUUACAGAUACCCAUAUAUGUUCCACUCCAACGAGAGGGAUUUCAUGGAAGAUAACACACCAGGAUGAGUCACAUGUUAGUAUUUGCUCAUUAAAAUUGUACUUGAAACUAUGUUUUACUGUAACAAUAGCUUAGAAUUUUAUGACAAAUUUGGUCUUAAAUCAAUUUCUUUUAUUAAAAUUUCGAUUCGAAUGCGGCAUUUUUUAAUUAGAAUUUAUAGUAAUGGUAAAUUAAUUGUCCCUAAUUUAAGAUUUGACAUAAAACACAUCACAUUAAUUUCAAUAGCCAAAAAAUAUUCCCCAUUUUAAAGCUGAUACUAAUUUAUAAUUUCCUUUUGUUACAGAUACCCAUAUAUGUUCCACUC
RNAcentral lists this long non-coding RNA (6689 nucleotides) under Mytilus galloprovincialis (Mediterranean mussel). Lineage: Eukaryota; Metazoa; Mollusca; Bivalvia; Mytilida; Mytilidae. The record is from RNAcentral.